CGGGGCGUAGCUCAGUCUGGUGGUAGCGCGCGCUUUGGGGGCGCGAGGUCCCCGGUUCGAAUCCGGGCGCCCCGA
This 75-nucleotide transfer RNA is filed under the name Solirubrobacteraceae bacterium. Its description in RNAcentral is "tRNA-Pro". It matches the Rfam family "tRNA". From Rfam's summary of the family: Transfer RNA (tRNA) molecules are approximately 80 nucleotides in length. Their secondary structure includes four short double-helical elements and three loops (D, anti-codon, and T loops). Lineage: Bacteria; Bacillati; Actinomycetota; Thermoleophilia; Solirubrobacterales; Solirubrobacteraceae. RNAcentral also lists the same sequence under 1 other name. The record is from RNAcentral.